GGAGUUUGGGCCGUGUCUCAGUCCCAAUGUGGCCGUUCACUCUCUCAAGCCGGCUACUGAUCGUCGCCUUGGUGGGCCGUUACCUCACCAACUAGCUAAUCAGACGCGGGUCCAUCCCAUAGCGCUAAUGCUUUCAAGAAGAAAUCAUGCGGUUCCUCCUUACUAUGCGGUAUUAGCAGUCGUUUCCAACUGUUGUCCCCCUCUAUGGGGCAGGUUACCCACGCGUUACUCACCCGUCCGCCACUCAGUCAAAUACAUCUUCCCUCCGAAGAGUUCCGUCGUAAGUGCUUCGUUCGACUUGCAUGUGUUAAGCACGCCGCCAGCGUUCAUC
Molecule: ribosomal RNA, 331 nt
Filed under: uncultured Lachnospiraceae bacterium
Lineage: Bacteria; Bacillati; Bacillota; Clostridia; Lachnospirales; Lachnospiraceae
Description: partial 16S ribosomal RNA
Source: RNAcentral